RNAcentral lists this ribosomal RNA (253 nucleotides) under uncultured bacterium. RNAcentral's name for it is "partial 16S ribosomal RNA". It matches the Rfam family "Bacterial small subunit ribosomal RNA", at positions 524 to 776 of the family's 1533-position model. The record is from RNAcentral.
UACGUAGGGGGCAAGCGUUGUCCGGAAUCAUUGGGCGUAAAGCGCGUGUAGGCGGCCCGGUAAGUCCGCUGUAAAAGUCCAGGGCUCAACCCUGGAAAGCCGGUGGAUACUGUCGGGCUCGAGUCCGGAAGAGGCGAGUGGAAUUCCUGGUGUAGCGGUGAAAUGCGCAGAUAUCAGGAGGAACACCGAUGGCGAAGGCAGCUCGCUGGGACGGUACUGACGCUGAGACACGAAGGCCAGGGGAGCAAACGGG